AAAAAUCAUAGAGGUUGCUAUUGACAUCAGUAGCUUGUGGAGUAUUUACAGAUACGAGGAAGCAAGUCAAAGGGGAAAUAGCCGAAGCACUAGUACUGUAAGGUUAGUUAGCUGGGUCGUUAGUCAAUAACUGGCGGACUGUCGCGCAAGCGGAGUGCUAUGUGGUUG
This is a non-coding RNA of Leuconostoc pseudomesenteroides PS12, 168 nucleotides long. The record is from Rfam. Lineage: Bacteria; Bacillati; Bacillota; Bacilli; Lactobacillales; Lactobacillaceae.